GUGCUCCCUGGAUGCUGCAAGCACCACAUCCUUGGGCUAGCUGAGAAGACGAGUGCUGGGAAGCAGCCGGGCACCUGACUUCUUUAGGGCUGCCCAUCCACAGCCACUGGCUGGGUCAGAUCAGUCACAGGGAGCACCUGGGUGACUGAAAUCAAUUCAUACACAGAGAGCACUGUGAAAAAAUCAUCCAAGAGAAGCUCAGAGCCGGCUUGGAGAGCCUUGGUGGAAAAGGACAAUCUGCAGUGUGGCCAGGCCUUUGAGAACCAUCUGAAACAAGAUCCCUCACUCAGGCUGCAGCUGAGCAAGGGUGAACAUUUAAUUGUAAUUGUUUUGACUUCAGUGAAAGUGCUCAUCUGUUCAGCAUUAGACAUCUGCUUAAUUUCCUGAAUGGAUUGAGUCCUACAGAGCUAAACAUCCAGGAGUGACAAAUGCUGGUUCAGGUGUGGGAUUGUGCCGCUCUGAGACAGAUGUUCCUAAACCACCGCAUGCAUCAAAGUCAGCGGCACUAAAAGAGGGCUGAAUUUAGCCUUGUUCCUAUGUUUAUCCAUCCUGCAGCAUUAUGUGUUUUCCUUUCCCUCAUUUUUGCAUUCUACUGUCUCACUUCAGUACAAACUGUAUGAGACAGAGGCUCCUGGGGGAGCAGCUGGAGAUUUGAAAUUCACAUCACUGUUCCCCUUAAGCCUGUCAGAUGAUCAGAUAGCCGAGGAAGUGCUAAUAGCUUAUGCUCUGGUGAAAUAUGUUUUUCUGUACAUGAUUACCUUUGUAUUUUGUUCCCCUUAUCCCUGAUUGUCAGCAUUUUAAUUAAAAGUAGAGGUGUGAGAACAUGGGAAAACCUG
Long non-coding RNA from Parus major (Great Tit), 836 nucleotides. RefSeq lists it as uncharacterized. The transcript is spliced from 2 exons. NCBI's taxonomy places the organism in Eukaryota, Metazoa, Chordata, Aves, Passeriformes, Paridae. The record is from RefSeq and is a predicted model, not a curated record.